This 413-nucleotide ribosomal RNA is filed under the name uncultured bacterium. RNAcentral describes it as "bacterial SSU rRNA". It matches the Rfam family "Bacterial small subunit ribosomal RNA", at positions 505 to 916 of the family's 1533-position model. The record is from RNAcentral.
GUGUCAGCCGCCGCGGUAAUACGUAGGGGGCAAGCGUUGUCCGGAAUUAUUGGGCGUAAAGGGUGCGUAGGCGGCCCUUUAAGUCAGAUGUGAAAGCCCACGGCUUAACCGUGGGACUGCAUUUGAAACUGGAGGGCUUGAGUGUCGGAGAGGGCAGUGGAAUUCCCAGUGUAGCGGUGGAAUGCGUAGAUAUUGGGAGGAACACCAGUGGCGAAGGCGACUGCCUGGACGAUAACUGACGCUGAGGCACGAAAGCUAGGGGAGCAAACAGGAUUAGAUACCCUGGUAGUCCUAGCCGUAAACGAUGGGUACUAGGUGUAGGAGGUUUCGAUACCUUCUGUGCCGCAGUUAACGCAAUAAGUACCCCGCCUGGGGAGUACGUGCGCAAGCAUGAAACUCAAAGAAAUUGACGG